GUGAAAUGUUGGGUUAAGUCCCGCAACGAGCGCAACCCCUAUUGAUAGUUACCAUCAUUACGUUGGGUACUCUAUUAAGACUGCCGCUGACAAGGCGGAGGAAGGUGGGGACGACGUCAAGUCAUCAGGGCCCUUACGACCAGGGCUACACACGUGCUACACUGGGUAUUACAGAGGGCUGCGAAGGUGCGAGCUGGAGCGAAACUCAACAAGGUACUCUUAGUCAGGAUUGCAGUCUGCAACUCGACUGCAUGAAGUCGGACUC
This 265-nucleotide ribosomal RNA is filed under the name Francisella tularensis subsp. holarctica. Its description in RNAcentral is "partial 16S ribosomal RNA". It matches the Rfam family "Bacterial small subunit ribosomal RNA", at positions 1067 to 1333 of the family's 1533-position model. Lineage: Bacteria; Pseudomonadati; Pseudomonadota; Gammaproteobacteria; Thiotrichales; Francisellaceae. The record is from RNAcentral.